CUUAACAUGUUCUUUUAUUUUAAACUAAGUGUCAACCUAUUUCAGACCCCACCCAGCCCCCCGCUCGCCACCUAAAAGACUAGAAAAUUCUUUGGACCCUCAAAAUUUGUGCACCGGUGAUCGCCCCUGCCUCGUCUUAGGGAGGACGACUUGACCUGUUUGGGACUAGGACUUGACAGUCAUUAAAAAAAAAAUCUUUGAUAAUUCUUAUGAAGGUCGAGGAGGAACUGGUAGAACAGAACAUGAAAACAGGGGGAGGGAAGAAGAAAGAGGGUGAAAGACGUGGGGGGCGGAGAAGAUGUGGCAGAGGAGGAGGAAAGGCAGAAUUCAGGGCUUCUCUGCAGAGGGGGUAAUUCUAGGUUAUAAAAGUCCCCGAUCAGAGAUGCCUACAUGUCAUAUAAUGUGACCCUUGGGGCCACUUGUCCCCAAUAACCUUGGUCCUUCUAUUGUCCAACUACAUGUGUUAUUCAUCAAGUUUCAAGAAAUAAAAAAUGAAAAAAGAACGAAGCCCCUUGUACCUCUCUCGUGUACCGGCCCUAUUGAGAGUCAUGCUUAGUCUUCUCCGUUUGAAAAUUUGGGAACAAACACAAAAUCAUGAUGUAUAAAUCAGAAAAGAGAAGGGAAGUUGGGAGAGUACAGGGAAACAAAAUUCUUCCUGCUCUUGAAAAUUCCCUGGCCAGUUAAUGAGGUCACCAGGCGCAAAAAGCUGUAUGUACUGUCUGGUUAGAAAAGACCGGGUGGUUUCAUUUCUGGGACCUCCUCUUCCUUCAGGGUUCCUGUAUUCGGAGAGCAGGGGUUCACACCAGCGUCGGGUUGCCCAUAACUUGAUUCAGAAACCCGCUGCUGCCUGGUAGUUCCCGUAACCGCACGGGAAGAGGUGGGCAUUUCUGCGUACCCACUAGCAAAGAGCUACUCGCUCUUGCCAGGGGUGAGUCCCACCGCGGCUGCAGCCGUCUCCAAUUUCGGCGAACGACAGAACGAAAGAAUAUUACGGAAGAAAAAGAGCUAUUUGAAGAUGCGCCACUGAGAGCCCAGGAAAGUGGGGGAAAGGAGGGACAGGAGAAGGAAACGGCCAGCCUGUCUCCAGAAACCCGAGAAAGUGAACUCUACCUACCACCCAACCCGAUCCGCUUCUCCCCCGCCCCCACCCCAGCGGUAAUCUUCCUUCCUCCCCCUGCUAGGUGUAGAGUUUAGAUUUUUAAAAAGACGUUUAGAACUGCCUGGAAAUCCGGAAUGGCGGGGUGGGGGGGGUGAGGCAUCCGGGAGGGGGACUUGAGGGCCCUGGCUUCCGUGGGGGCUAGACAGCUUCAGCUUCCAAAGUUCUCUGGGGUCUAGACGCCCAGGAGUUCCCCGCGGGCUGCAAAUCCAGCUUCCGCCUAGAAGAACGCGGGCAUCUAGGCUGCCCCGGGAAGAUCGCAGGCCCUUUUGCUUUUGAAUUGAGUGGUCCUGGCGGAAAACCAGCGUGCCUUGGGCUUGUCCGCCGAAUCGGGCCAUACCUCGGUGCACUACCCCACAAGAAAUUUACUAAGUAGGAAGCCAGGAUCAGGAGGGGGAGGGUUUGGGCAUAGGUGGGGGGCGUGCGCGCGCGCGCACGAGUACUUUUGUGUUGGGGGUGGGGGACACACUUCACACUCCCAAACCCAUUCUUGACCUUGCGCGGAAAUCAGCCUCCUACUUUUUAACGAAGUUUACCCCCCCACCACCAGCCACCUCGGGGAGCGCCUGAAGCAUCCCUCCAGAGGCCCCACAAAAGUGGCAUUAAUAUACCGCUCCGAUUUUCGAAGGUUUAUUUCACGUCAAAACUGUAAAAGUUCUUGGGAGAAUUUACAGACAAAACAUCUGGUUCGUUAAAA
Molecule: long non-coding RNA, 1853 nt
Filed under: Ictidomys tridecemlineatus (thirteen-lined ground squirrel)
Lineage: Eukaryota; Metazoa; Chordata; Mammalia; Rodentia; Sciuridae
Description: lncRNA (ENSSTOG00000030669.1)
Source: RNAcentral